This 253-nucleotide ribosomal RNA is filed under the name uncultured bacterium. RNAcentral's name for it is "partial 16S ribosomal RNA". It matches the Rfam family "Bacterial small subunit ribosomal RNA", at positions 524 to 776 of the family's 1533-position model. The record is from RNAcentral.
UACGGGGGGGGUAAGCGUUGUUCGGAAUUACUGGGCGUAAAGGGCUCGUAGGCGGCCAACUAAGUCAGACGUGAAAUCCCUCGGCUUAACCGGGGAACUGCGUCUGAUACUGGAUGGCUUGAGUUUGGGAGAGGGACGCGGAAUUCCAGGUGUAGCGGUGAAAUGCGUAGAUAUCUGGAGGAACACCGGUGGCGAAGGCGGCGUCCUGGACCAACACUGACACUGAUGAGCGAAAGCCAGGGGAGCAAACGGG